UACUGUUAAUUUGGUAUCCUGUUGUUACUAUUUUUCAUGAGGUUGAAGAGACAGCUGAUCUGACUGAAUUUACAGAUGAAAUUAUCAGCUGUGGAUACACAGGACCACUCAACAUAGACCAAAAAGAUGCCAUAAUUCGCGCAAUUGUUCUCCAUGCAACAUUUAGAGUUACACCAAUGCUUGGAGACUUGCGCAAAGGCCUCCAGCUGUAUGGACUGCUGGACAUACUUAAGAAGCAUCCAAAUCUUUGCAAGAGUCUGUUUGUUCCUGGGGAGGAUUGUACACCGGAUGCUGACUACAUUCUCAGCAGUGUUGCUCCUGAAAUGAGUGCGAGAGGAACUUCAAGGGCUUCGGUAGAGAGCAAAAUUAUAAACUACUUUCAAGAUUUCCUACAAGAAAUUGAAUGUGGAGAGAUUGCUGAAGAUGCAGCAGAAGUGGAAACCGAGCCAUCCGACCUCACUGUUCCGAGAGUCAUGCAGUGGAUUACAGGCCAAGGGCAUAAGCCACUACUGCUUUCGGAACAGAAAGCUUUUCAAAUAAUUUUAAGGUUUGACCAUGAUUGUCAAAUCAGAAUGCCACAGCACACCAUAUGCUACCCAAUAGUGAGCGCCUGCACUAAUACAGUUACCUUUCCAGUGGCACACAUGACAACAUAUAAAGACUUUAAACGCAUCAUUGUACAAGCCAUAAAAUCAGGGGGAGCAUUUAGCAGGGUUUAAACAUCCUCUAGGUGCUGGAUUUGAGUUUAUUUCUUAAACCACAUGCUUUAGUGUUACAGUUUUUGUUAACAUAUUUCCUAUCUCAACUUGUUGGAGGUCUACAGUAUUUUAUCUACAUUAAGAUACUUAAAUUGCAAUUCCAAUUCUGAAAUGUUUUUAAAAAGUUAGCCCCUGCUAAGGGUGCUGUUUCUGGAGUUUAUAUCUGAUACAAGUUAUGUAACUUGCAGUUGCAGUUCAAAUUGUUUAAAUCAAGCCGCUCUGUUACAGAGCUCUUCUUAAAUUUAUAUCUGUUUUAAGGUACUAACGUUGCAUUUCAUUGAUAUGUUAGUGUUUCUAAGGGAACCUUGGUGUAGAAGUUUGCCACUACAGUAGGUAUUUGGCA
Molecule: long non-coding RNA, 1101 nt
Organism: Clarias gariepinus (North African catfish)
Lineage: Eukaryota; Metazoa; Chordata; Actinopteri; Siluriformes; Clariidae
Exons: 4
Source: RefSeq, a predicted model, not a curated record